GAUGAAGAACGUAGCGAAAUGCGAUAAGUAAUGUGAAUUGCAGAAUUCAGUGAAUCAUCGAAUCUUUGAACGCACAUUGCGCCCCCUGGUAUUCCGGGGGGCAUGCCUGUCCGAGCGUCAUUACAACCCUCAAGCUCAGCUUGGUGUUGGGCCCCGCCGCCCCGGCGGGCCCUAAAGUCAGUGGCGGUGCCGUCCGGCUCCGAGCGUAGUAAUUCUUCUCGCUCCGGAGGUCCGGUCGUGUGCUCGCCAGCAACCCCCAAUUUUUUUCAGGUUAACCUCGGAUCAGGUAGGGAUACCCGCUGAACUUAAGCAUAUCAAUAAGCGGAGGA
This 329-nucleotide unclassified non-coding RNA is filed under the name soil metagenome. RNAcentral's name for it is "partial contains 5.8S ribosomal RNA, internal transcribed spacer 2, and large subunit ribosomal RNA". The stretch from base 1 to 120 matches the Rfam family "5.8S ribosomal RNA", at positions 35 to 154 of the family's 154-position model. The record is from RNAcentral.